RNAcentral lists this unclassified non-coding RNA (1171 nucleotides) under Hevea brasiliensis (rubber tree). The record is from RNAcentral. Lineage: Eukaryota; Viridiplantae; Streptophyta; Magnoliopsida; Malpighiales; Euphorbiaceae.
CUCCUUAUUGAGGCAUAACAUACAUCAGACAGAACUAGAUGCAUAUAACAUCUUCAUACAGCAGUACAAAUUGUGAGAUAUCAGAGUAGAACUAGAAUUAUCAACAAAAUUUCAUGAGGUAAUCAAAAAUCUCUAACAAGUUAUAUCCCUACUUCAAUGUUGUGUAUCGGCUUCAUACAUCUUUCACUCAUAUAGUAGGCAGUAGGCACAACUAAAAUCAAUCAAUGGCAAUAAUGAGAAAUCCAACAGAUACAUACAUGAGUACUACAGGAUACAGGGCAAGAGCUUUCCUUCUAGGGUUAACAGCUGUACUCAUGAAGGGGUAUGCCGCCCAAGAGCUCCAAGCUAGUGCAACACAUACUACAACUACCUUCAAUAUCACGUUGUCCUUUAGCAUGCAAAUGAAAGCACCAACAUCAAGCGGGAAUAGACAGUAACCCAGCAGACUGAGACUUUGGAAGAAGAUUAUAUGACCGCCCAGUAACAAUACAUUCAGUGUCAGAAUGACAGCACCGGCAGCCAGCAGAGCAAAUGCAACAGCAAAAACCUCAGACUUCUUAACAGAAGCAGACCAUGACAAAGUGAGACCAAGGAAAACAAUGAAGAAGAAAGGUCCCCAUAGAUCCCAAUCACGAAGAGCUUUGCCAGGAUCUUCUCUAUAAGGAUUAGGGAAAACCACCAGCUUCAAAUUACUAACAAUUCUGGACAGAUCUCUUUUGACGGUAUCCCAAACGGGUUCGGUAAGGGUAUUGGGAGGCGAUCCGAAUCCGGUAGCAGCUAUAUUUGACUGUCCAGAUGAAGGUAGGGGUGGUGGAGAUGGAAUGGCAGGAACAGGUGUCGGUUUGUAAUUGUUGGUUGUGGUAGAUGUAGGGGGAGGUGGUGGGCGUAGAUUGGAAGGCAUGAAAGGAGAAGAUGAAACAGGAAUGGCAGCACGAGGAGGAGAAGGAGGGCGUGCUGGAAGGACAGUAGAAGGAUUGGAAUAGAUGAGGUUUUCAAUUUCAUCAAUGUCAGAUUGAGAUGAGGAGUGAAGAGGUAUAGUGUCUCCAUGUGACAUUUUUUCCGGUAGCUCUCAGAUUUGCAGAGAUGAUCGGAGAUGGAGGACAAGGCGGAAUUGAGUGAGUGGAUGGGUGGUGUAACUGGUGUUGCCCUGUUGAGUUGUAAAUGCAGGGAA